GGGUUGUGAGGUUAAGCGACUAAGCGUACACGGUGGAUGCCCUGGCAGUCAGAGGCGAUGAAGGACGUGCUAAUCUGCGAAAAGCGUCGGUAAGGUGAUAUGAACCGUUAUAACCGGCGAUGUCCGAAUGGGGAAACCCAGUGUGAUUCGUCACACUAUCGUUAACUGAAUACAUAGGUUAACGAGGCGAACCGGGGGAACUGAAACAUCUAAGUACCCCGAGGAAAAGAAAUCAACCGAGAUUCCCCCAGUAGCGGCGAGCGAACGGGGAGCAGCCCAGAGUCUGAAUCAGCUUGUGUGUUAGUGGAACGGUCUGGAAAGUCCGACGGUACAGGGUGAUAGUCCCGUACACCAAAAUGCACAGGCUGUGAACUCGAAGAGUAGGGCGGGACACGUGGUAUCCUGUCUGAAUAUGGGGGGACCAUCCUCCAAGGCUAAAUACUCCUGACUGACCGAUAGUGAACCAGUACCGUGAGGGAAAGGCGAAAAGAACCCCGGCGAGGGGAGUGAAAAAGAACCUGAAACCGUGUACGUACAAGCAGUGGGAGCACCUUCGGGUGUGACUGCGUACCUUUUGUAUAAUGGGUCAGCGACUUAUAUUCUGUAGCAAGGUUAACCGUAUAGGGGAGCCGCAGGGAAACCGAGUCUUAACUGGGCGUUAAGUUGCAGGGUAUAGACCCGAAACCCGGUGAUCUAGCCAUGGGCAGGUUGAAGGUUGGGUAACACUAACUGGAGGACCGAACCGACUAAUGUUGAAAAAUUAGCGGAUGACUUGUGGCUGGGGGUGAAAGGCCAAUCAAACCGGGAGAUAGCUGGUUCUCCCCGAAAGCUAUUUAGGUAGCGCCUCGUGAAUUCAUCUUCGGGGGUAGAGCACUGUUUCGGCUAGGGGGUCAUCCCGACUUACCAACCCGAUGCAAACUACGAAUACCGAAGAAUGUUAUCACGGGAGACACACGGCGGGUGCUAACGUCCGUCGUGAAGAGGGAAACAACCCAGACCGCCAGCUAAGGUCCCAAAGUCAUGGUUAAGUGGGAAACGAUGUGGGAAGGCACAGACAGCCAGGAUGUUGGCUUAGAAGCAGCCAUCAUUUAAAGAAAGCGUAAUAGCUCACUGGUCGAGUCGGCCUGCGCGGAAGAUGUAACGGGGCUAAACCAUGCACCGAAGCUGCGGCAGCGACACUAUGUGUUGUUGGGUAGGGGAGCGUUCUGUAAGCCUGCGAAGGUGACCUGUGAGGGUUGCUGGAGGUAUCAGAAGUGCGAAUGCUGACAUAAGUAACGAUAAAGCGGGUGAAAAGCCCGCUCGCCGGAAGACCAAGGGUUCCUGUCCAACGUUAAUCGGGGCAGGGUGAGUCGACCCCUAAGGCGAGGCCGAAAGGCGUAGUCGAUGGGAAACAGGUUAAUAUUCCUGUACUUGGUGUUACUGCGAAGGGGGGACGGAGAAGGCUAUGUUAGCCGGGCGACGGUUGUCCCGGUUUAAGCAUGUAGGCUGAUUGUCCAGGCAAAUCCGGAUAAUCAAGGCUGAGGUGUGAUGACGAGGCACUACGGUGCUGAAGUAACAAAUGCCCUGCUUCCAGGAAAAGCCUCUAAGCAUCAGGUAACAUCAAAUCGUACCCCAAACCGACACAGGUGGUCAGGUAGAGAAUACCAAGGCGCUUGAGAGAACUCGGGUGAAGGAACUAGGCAAAAUGGUGCCGUAACUUCGGGAGAAGGCACGCUGGUGUGUAGGUGAAGUCCCUGCGGAUGGAGCUGAGACCAGUCGAAGAUACCAGCUGGCUGCAACUGUUUAUUAAAAACACAGCACUGUGCAAACACGAAAGUGGACGUAUACGGUGUGACGCCUGCCCGGUGCCGGAAGGUUAAUUGAUGGGGUUAUCCGUAAGGAGAAGCUCUUGAUCGAAGCCCCGGUAAACGGCGGCCGUAACUAUAACGGUCCUAAGGUAGCGAAAUUCCUUGUCGGGUAAGUUCCGACCUGCACGAAUGGCGUAAUGAUGGCCAGGCUGUCUCCACCCGAGACUCAGUGAAAUUGAACUCGCUGUGAAGAUGCAGUGUACCCGCGGCAAGACGGAAAGACCCCGUGAACCUUUACUAUAGCUUGACACUGAACAUUGAGCCUUGAUGUGUAGGAUAGGUGGGAGGCUUUGAAGCGUGGACGCCAGUCUGCGUGGAGCCAACCUUGAAAUACCACCCUUUAAUGUUUGAUGUUCUAACGUUGGCCCCUUACCGGGGUUGCGGACAGUGUCUGGUGGGUAGUUUGACUGGGGCGGUCUCCUCCCAAAGCGUAACGGAGGAGCACGAAGGUUAGCUAAUCCUGGUCGGACAUCAGGAGGUUAGUGCAAUGGCAUAAGCUAGCUUGACUGCGAGCGUGACGGCGCGAGCAGGUGCGAAAGCAGGUCAUAGUGAUCCGGUGGUUCUGAAUGGAAGGGCCAUCGCUCAACGGAUAAAAGGUACUCCGGGGAUAACAGGCUGAUACCGCCCAAGAGUUCAUAUCGACGGCGGUGUUUGGCACCUCGAUGUCGGCUCAUCACAUCCUGGGGCUGAAGUAGGUCCCAAGGGUAUGGCUGUUCGCCAUUUAAAGUGGUACGCGAGCUGGGUUUAGAACGUCGUGAGACAGUUCGGUCCCUAUCUGCCGUGGGCGCUGGAGAAUUGAGGGGGGCUGCUCCUAGUACGAGAGGACCGGAGUGGACGCAUCACUGGUGUUCGGGUUGUCAUGCCAAUGGCACUGCCCGGUAGCUAAAUGCGGAAGAGAUAAGUGCUGAAAGCAUCUAAGCACGAAACUUGCCCCGAGAUGAGUUCUCCCUGAGACUUUAAGUCUCCUGAAGGAACGUUGAAGACGACGACGUUGAUAGGCCGGGUGUGUAAGCGCAGCGAUGCGUUGAGCUAACCGGUACUAAUGAACCGUGAGGCUUAACCUUACAACGCCGAAG
RNAcentral lists this ribosomal RNA (2923 nucleotides) under Klebsiella pneumoniae. RNAcentral's name for it is "bacterial LSU rRNA". It matches the Rfam family "Bacterial large subunit ribosomal RNA". The record is from RNAcentral. Lineage: Bacteria; Pseudomonadati; Pseudomonadota; Gammaproteobacteria; Enterobacterales; Enterobacteriaceae.